GACUCUCGGCAACGGAUAUCUCGGCUCUCGCAUCGAUGAAGAACGUAGCGAAAUGCCCUCCUUGGUGUGAAUUGCAGAAUCCCGUGAACCAUCGAGUCUUUGAACGCAAGUUGCGCCCGAAGCCUUCGGGCCGAGGGCACGCCUGCCUGGGCGUCA
This 156-nucleotide ribosomal RNA is filed under the name Justicia adhatoda. RNAcentral's name for it is "5.8S ribosomal RNA". It matches the Rfam family "5.8S ribosomal RNA". From Rfam's summary of the family: 5.8S ribosomal RNA (5.8S rRNA) is a component of the large subunit of the eukaryotic ribosome. The record is from RNAcentral. Lineage: Eukaryota; Viridiplantae; Streptophyta; Magnoliopsida; Lamiales; Acanthaceae.